This 460-nucleotide ribosomal RNA is filed under the name uncultured bacterium. RNAcentral describes it as "partial 16S ribosomal RNA". It matches the Rfam family "Bacterial small subunit ribosomal RNA", at positions 338 to 795 of the family's 1533-position model. The record is from RNAcentral.
CCUACGGGAGGCAGCAGUGAGGAAUAUUGGUCAAUGGACGCAAGUCUGAACCAGCCAUGCCGCGUGCAGGAAGACGGCUCUAUGAGUUGUAAACUGCUUUUGUACGAGGGUAAACGCAGAUACGUGUAUCUGUUUGAAAGUACCGUAUGAAUAAGGAUCGGCUAACUCCGUGCCAGCAGCCGCGGUAAUACGGAGGAUUCAAGCGUUAUCCGGAUUUAUUGGGUUUAAAGGGUGCGUAGGCGGUCGGAUAAGUUAGCGGUGAAAGCCUGUGGCUCAACUACGGAAUUGCCUGUGAUACUGGGAGGCUAGAGAGUGUUUGCGGUAGGCGGAAUGCAUGGUGUAGCGGUGAAAUGCUUAGAGAUCAUACAGAACACCGAUUGCGAAGGCAGCUUACCAAGCCACUUCUGACGUUGAGGCACGAAAGCGUGGGGAGCAAACAGGAUUAGAUACCCUGGUAGUC